CCACCGGCCUCACAGCUGCCCGAAUAUUACGUGUCUGCCUUUCUCCACUGAAUAGGCAGUGUUUCCAAGGGCCAGUGAGUGAUUCUUUAGCAGGUUCUGCUGAUGAAUCAGGCCGACAUUAGUUGGGCAGGAAGGUUCACUGCACAGCUCGAAUGCUUUGGGAGGUUGUUUGUCAAAGAGGUCUGGCUUAGUGGUUUAGCAGCAAACAAAGCAUGUGCUUGGUUUUCAAUCUAUU
RNAcentral lists this long non-coding RNA (235 nucleotides) under Bos taurus (domestic cattle). Its description in RNAcentral is "long non-coding RNA NONBTAT027100". Lineage: Eukaryota; Metazoa; Chordata; Mammalia; Artiodactyla; Bovidae. The record is from RNAcentral.